GACGUAGGGCGCGAGCGUUGUCCGGAUUUAUUGGGCGUAAAGAGCUCGUAGGCGGCUUGUUGCGUCGACCGUGAAAACCCGGGGCUCAACUUCGGGCUUGCGGUCGAUACGGGCGGGCUAGAGUUCGGUAGGGGAGACUGGAAUUCCUGGUGUAGCGGUGAAAUGCGCAGAUAUCAAGAGGAACACCUGAGGUGAAGACGGGUUGCUGGGCUGACACUGACGCUGAUGCGCGAAAGCUAGGGGAGCAAACGGG
Molecule: ribosomal RNA, 253 nt
Filed under: uncultured bacterium
Lineage: Bacteria
Description: partial 16S ribosomal RNA
Rfam family: Bacterial small subunit ribosomal RNA
Source: RNAcentral